UGACUUCUGCCUUGGGUGCCCAGGUGGCUGGUUUGUCAUUGGUGAAAAGAGGAAAGGUUCAUGGAAAGGAUAGAGCAGGAUUGGAAGAAGCAUAGAAUCAUGGUUGGAGGUAACAUCAACCUGGAAAAUGUUUUUUUAUUUUCCUCCAUUUAUUUUGGGACAUGGAAUCCUUUUGUGAUAUUUUGCCCACAGAAAGGGCUACAGUCCUGAAAGGCCCUGAGGACUCCCAUAGGUGAUUUUGCAGGGCUUGCCUGCAAAAGGGCAUAUGGCCAAGGAGAGUGAGUGGGGCUGAAAUGUGGUCCCCUUGGGUGUCCCUGCCCAGGACUGGGACCACAUCUGCCUGCAGGGAGGGGCACCCUGCAGGAUAUUUCCCUGUACCUCUCUAGAGGUCCCUACUUUUCACCAUCCCAUGUGCCCUGGAUGGCUGGCCUGUGGGGACUUCAUUCCUUGCCCCCUCCCCCAGCUUCUGGCUGAGUUCCCCAACAGGAGGCAGUAGCAGGAAAUCAAAGGGAGGAAAGUUUAUUUCUCUCAGCUCACUCCCUGCUGGGUGACCCUCAACUGUCUCACUCACUUUACUGAAGGGCACGGUACCCACAGCACAUGGAAGGUCCCAGACCAGGGAUCAAAUCUGAGCAACCUAUGGCAUAGCAGCAGCAAUGCCAGAUCUUUAACCCACUGCACCAGGCUGGGGAAAAAACUGGCAUCUCCAUAGGAGCAAGCUGGGCCAUUAACUCACGGCACCACAGCAGGAACUCCCCUGUGCGAUUCUGAGUUUAGGGGUUUUCUUCUCUUGUUCCUCAGGGCUGGGAUGGUGAUGACCCCCCACUGAUGCUGGCCCUAGGAUUCUGUGCCAUUCCCUGUGGGUUUCCUAAAUCCUGCCUGUACCUUUGAAAAUGGUACUUCCAUUACACUGUCCUUAAGCAUCCAGUUUAAGAUUGUCAUCUGUUUUCUGCCAGAACUGGGAGUGACUGGGAAUACUUUUCUAAAGAACACAAAGCAACGUCUCUGUUCACUUAACCACGAACCUGUGACCAUCAUAGGGGCUCCUGUUUCUCAUUCUUAAAAGGGUGUUAUGUUAGCAAGGGGCCCCCAUAGGUCCUGAAAAUCAGGCAGCCUUAUUCAUCUAGAAAGUGGGUGCCAAACCAGCUUUUCAGUAUGACCCAAAGUUUGAGUUGGAAAAGAGGAGGGAGGAUAGUCGUUGUCUGAGUCUAUUUGGGCUGUUCCAGCCAAGUACCAGAGCCCAGGUGGCUUAUAAACUCCAGACAUUUGUUUCUCACGGUUCUGGGGGCUGGAAGGCCAGGAUCAAGGUGCCAGUGUGCUUGGGUUGUGGUGAGGGCCCUCUUUCUGGCCCAUAGGUGGCACCGUCUAUCGUGUCCUCACAUGGUGUAGGGGGCUGAGAUCUCUGUGGGCACUAAUCCUCUCUGUGAGGGCUCUGCCCCCAUAACUAAGUGCAUCCCAAAUGCCCCACCUCCUAAUACUGUCAUCCUUAGGGGGUGGGAUUUCAACAUGUAAAUCUGGGGGGACGCAAACAUUCAGAAAAUAGAGGUGAGAAAGAGGGAAUGCUCAGAGUCAGCAGAGCCUGGAGAAAAGCGCUGUGUGGUGUCAGGGUACCCACAUCCAUCCAGCAAGCCUUGCCUGGGCGUUUGGAGUUGACACCUGGGAAUUGCUGUGGUGGGAAUGGAAUGGCAUGUGCCAAUCCGCACUCUGCCAAGAUGGACUUCUCUCCUUCUCCAAGUCGCUCCCUUUCCUACCAACCAUCCCCUUCUCCCACCCUGGCCAAAGAAACGCUUCUUGAGUUUCUGUAAUUUAAUGCUGGAAUCAAGUACAAGAAAAUACCUUCCUUAAAACUCUCCAGUAUAACAAGAUAUUGUAAAAGCUGUUGGUCUUCACUCGCCCAUUCUAUAGAGGUAGAGAAAUUACUAUUUUUAUUUUAUUUUAUUUUAUUGCUUUUUUUUUAGAGCCACAUCCACGACAUAUGGAAGUUCCCAGGCUAGGGGUCGAGUUGGAGCUACAGCUGCCAGCCUACACCACAGCCACAGCAACACGGGAUCUGAGCCGAAUCUGCAAUCUACACCACAGCUCACAGCAAUGCUGGAUCCUUAACCCACUGGGCAGAGCCAGGUAUGGAACCCUCAUCCUCAUGGUUCCUAGUCAGGUUUGUUACCUGCUGAGCCAGGAAGGGAGCACCGAGAAACUACUAUUUUUAAAACGUGCACCUUUAGAGCCAGCUUUUUGUUUGUCCAUUUAUUCAUUAAUCCAACAGCUGUCAAAUGCCAUUUAAGACUAAAUCACUGUAUCUGUUCUCAAGUGGAGCCUCACCUGUUCCUAAAGGAAAGGGGAUGAGGCAUAUGCAGGGGGCACCUGCAAGGUGGACUCAUCCAAAGCCAGGACAGAUGGAGAAGAAGCAAGGUGGGGCCUGCAGCCAACCCUUCCCCUGACUGUGGCCAGGCUGAGUCCAGUAUUUAAGCUGCCUGGGGCAGGCUCACAUUCUCUCUCUGUGUUCACUUUGUGCUCUUACACUGACGAGGCUGUAUGCACAUGCGCCCUUGGACAGGCUUGCGUUCUCUCCCUUGUUCCUAUUUACUUUCCUCUUACACUGCACGGUGCUGCAUGCACAGAGUGCACUGUGCUGGAGGCCAGUGUGUUGUGCAAUAAAUACUUGACCCGCUGCCCCUACGAAAGUCCUAGGUCUUGCAAAUAUGAAGCAACAGGUCAAAGGAGCUGCUGAGAAAUCUUUGGAUUUGUUCUUGGUCCUUUCCAUACUCAGGAACUAGGGGACGACCUGUCUCACCAGCAGGACUGAGAAAGAGGGCCUGUUGCUUCAUAUUCUUUCUUCCUCAGAUCCUUUCCAGGCUUUGGAUGUGAGGCGCUGUGCUGCUUUAGGGUUGCUGAGCUACAGGGCAGCAUUCAAGAGCCUCCGGCAUUUCAAAUUUAUUGCUUAACUGUCUGGAAUCCCUCUUCCAGGAAGUUAUCCAUCUUCCGAGCAGCAUAUCUGAAAGUAAGCUUAAGGAAGAUCAUUGCAGUUUGAUGUUCUGGUGAGAUCCCCAGUAUCAGGGAUGCCUUACCCAAGGGAUCAGUUGAUAAGGGAUCAGAAAUUGCUCCCGUUUGCCUGCCUUCCCAGGCCUUCGCUAAUGUCCUCAGAGCCAGGAUGAGCACAGUGACUUAGUCUCAGAAAGCGUUAGCCCUCUGAUCUGCUUGUGUUUUUUUGUACACCUAGCUACUGAUGCUUACACUGAAGUGGUGGGAUCUCCCCCACCUCUUCCUCCACCCUCCCCCUCCACCACAAUUGAAUGAGAGAGCCUUUAGAAUUUCGAUUAAGAUCUGCUUUCUAAAAUCUUUUAUAUUUUUCUUUUUACUGUCUCCUUACAUUGUUGUUUUCCUCCCGUUCCUCCCCUACUUCAUUCAUUCAUUCGUCAAUUGUAUUUGUUCAUUGCUUUGUAUCUGGAGCCUGAACUUAAGCUAGUUAACACCUCUCCUACCAUAAGGAUUUAGAGGUAAGUCUGGGAAUGCCUGGAUGGUUUGUAGGGUGGGCCCCCCAUGGGUCUGUGCCCCCGAAGGACAGGAACCUCCUAGGAAAGAGUCGCUCCACAGGAGGCGAGAGUGGAGAACACCUACUAAGUUCAGUUUCAGGGGACCAGGUUUAAAGUGGGGUUCAGGGUGGUCCUGGUGGAUUUUGGAAGCAGCAUACUGCCUGUCACUCAGCUGCCUUCCGACCUAGCUCAUGGGGACUUGUGCCUGAGCCCUAAGGUGAGGGCAUUGGAAUAAAAGAGCAAGUAAAAACUUAACUAGGUCUUUACUCAAACAUCUGAAGGUAACAGAAAGCAGCAGCACAGCAGCCCAGGGUCAGGCAGCUGUCAGCAUUCCUUACCCUGGGCAGGUGCAGCCUUGGAACAGACAGUGGUGGCUACCAUCGUGGCGGGCAUCCCCCCAAAGGCUCCUCUUGGUGUCAGCCGCAAUGGAGAGGUCAGCCCGGUGGACAUAGGCAGGUAAGGACGAAGGUGGCCGGUGCCAUGUGUAAUAGCAGGGCCCACGUGCUCAGUAUCUGUAAAAUAACCUAAUUGCUUAAGACUCCUAGACUUCAGGGAUAAUCUUGAUGUGAGGAUGUGGGGUUGGAGCAGCCACAGAGUGCAUCUGGGUAAAUCCGAAGAACAUUGUUUUUUGUGUCUCUUAUUAAUGAAGUUCCUGUUUCUCUCCAAGCAGCUGAGUUUGGGGGACACAACUGUGACACAUUCCUUAAAUCCAAUUUAGUUGCAAACAGGAUUUGCAGGAGCUUUGCAUGAAGGCUGGGGAUAUAAAAGGGCCAAUUGUUUAAAAAGAAGGUGAAAGAGCCAUAGUCAAGAAAUAAAACCUGGAAGGAAGGAAGAAGUGAGGUGUUGCACUGGAAAACCUAGUCAAGCAAAUGUUCCUGUUGGAUGAGAAACCCCUGUGUCUUUGGAGCUUAAUUCCUGAGAAUGCAAACUCUAUGCCUAGUCAAAUCCCAACCAAGAUGAAAUUCAGUUUUCAGGCAGAGGUGCCUGUUUUUCCCAAAUGUGUUACUGCGCCCAAACAGGUUGGUUCUACAGUUCUUUGUGGUUAGAGAGCUACUUGGGGUCCUUGUAGUUUGAGUAUAUUGUUGGAAAAUUUGCUUAUCUGCCCAGCCGCCACCAAGAACCCUAAAAUGUGAUAGACCGAGUGCCAGGCUGGGAGGGUGUUGUCACACAAAUGACUGGAAACACCCCAUGUUCGUAAGCCAUGCUUGUACCUCCCCAUCUCCCUUCAUCCUCAUGGUGCUGCAGGGAGACGAGGAGGCAGGUACCAUGACCCCCACUGUCCAGAUGAGGAAACCAUGAGGCACAGAGAGCCGUGACCUGCCCAAGGUCACACACAGGUGCAGGCUUUGUGUUUGAACAUUGGCCCCCAGUCUACAUCUUGGCUGCUUAGGCCCCUGCCUAGCCCUAUGCCUGGAGUGGUAACUCACCCUGAAUUUUUUUAGAGGCAUUCUAGAAGAUUCUGACAUUCAUCCAGGUUUGAGAGCUUUGUGCCCCUAAACUGUCUGUCUCAGCCUGAAUGCUCAGUGGGUGAAUGGGUUAAAUAUAGGAACCUAAUUGCUAAACGUGGUUAGAGGGUAAAAAGAAGUGGUCCGUGGACAAGGAGAUGCCGUAUGAUGGCAGAUUGGGGCAGGUAGCAAAGAAAUGGCAGUUCUUUUCUUUUUUUGCUUUUUAGGGCCACUCUGAGGCCUAUGGAGGUUCCCAGGCUAGGGGUCCAAUCAGAGCUACAGCUGCUGGCCUAUAGCACAGCUGCAGCAACACCAGUUCUGAGCAAGCCAUGUCUGUGACCUACACCAUAGCUCACAGCAACACUGGAUCCUUAACCCACUGAGCGAGGCCAGGGAUCGAACCUGCAUCCUCAUGGAUACUAGUCAGGUUCGUUAAUCGCUGAGCCACAACGGGAGCUCCGUUUUUUACUUAAUCUGUUUAGAUGUUUCGAAUGUGCCCAAAGUAAAAUCUUUCCUAUAGACAAGGCCAAGGGAAGGACUGGGACUAGGUGGACCCUCAUGGAUCCACCCCACCAACAACUACGAUCCAAAUUAAAAUGUCCAGAGUGGACAGAACUGAUCCCCCUGUGGUGCAACGGGGUUGGGAGUGUCUUGAGAGCACUGGGACGCAGUUCCAGCCCUGGCCCAGCACAGUGGACUAAGGAUCUGGUGUUGCCACACCUGAGGCUUUGGUCACACCUAACGGCUGGGAUCUCAGCCCUGGCCCAGGCACUCUGUAUGCCGCAGGGUGGCCAAAAAGAAAAACAAAACAAAACAGAAUAGGUAGAGCAGAAAAGAGCCCAUAUCUGUCUGGGCACACACACACACACACACACACACACACACACACACACUGUCCUCUUCUCUCUUCAGCAUAGAAAGGCCUGAGAAAUUGCAAGCUGACCUGUGGUCGCCUUUGGCCCAUUAGAAAUUCAAAUCUGCUGUAAUUAGACAUCUCCAAGGAUUUCCAAGGCCCAGAGUGUUAUAGAAGCUUAGAGCCAAAAGUAUUCCCAGGGCGACAGAACAGAGGGCGAGACAGUAGACAGAUUUGAGGGCAGAAAUCGGCUUAGGUAUUUGAGACACUACAGAGACCUGCCUGGGAAAAUAAAAGAAUAACGUUUAUUAAGACCUGAUACGUACCUAAUCCUGUGCUCUCCUGUGCACCUCAUUUCGUUCUCAAGUAGCUCUAGGGGUAGGUGUUUUAGUUCUGUUUCACAAGUAAGGAAACCAAGGCUUAGACAGGGUGGUGUUUCUCCAAGGUGACCCAGACAGUAAAAAACAAAC
RNAcentral lists this long non-coding RNA (6298 nucleotides) under Sus scrofa (pig). RNAcentral's name for it is "lncRNA (ENSSSCG00015020407.1)". Lineage: Eukaryota; Metazoa; Chordata; Mammalia; Artiodactyla; Suidae. The record is from RNAcentral.